GACGAACGCUGGCGGCGUGCUUAACACAUGCAAGUCGAACGGUGAAGCGCCUUCCUUUUUGGUGGGUGUGGAUGAGUGGCGAACGGGUGAGUAACACGUGAGUAACCUGCCCCCUUCUUCUGGAUAACCGCAUGAAAGUGUGGCUAAUACGGGAUAUUCUGGGUCUGUCGCAUGAUGGGUCUGGGAAAGAUAUUGUUUCGGUGGGGGAUGGGCUCGCGGCCUAUCAGCUUGUUGGUGGGGUGAUGGCCUACCAAGGCGGUGACGGGUAGCCGGCCUGAGAGGGUGGACGGUCACACUGGGACUGAGACACGGCCCAGACUCCUACGGGAGGCAGCAGUGGGGAAUAUUGCACAAUGGGCGCAAGCUUGAUGCAGCGACGCCGCGUGAGGGAUGGAGGCCUUCGGGUUGUGAACCUCUUUCGCCAGUGAAGCAGGCCUGCCUCGUUUGUGGGUGGGUUGACGGUAGCUGGAUAAGAAGCGCCGGCUAACUACGUG
RNAcentral lists this ribosomal RNA (494 nucleotides) under uncultured bacterium. RNAcentral's name for it is "partial 16S ribosomal RNA". It matches the Rfam family "Bacterial small subunit ribosomal RNA", at positions 28 to 507 of the family's 1533-position model. The record is from RNAcentral.